RNAcentral lists this ribosomal RNA (492 nucleotides) under uncultured bacterium. RNAcentral describes it as "partial 16S ribosomal RNA". It matches the Rfam family "Bacterial small subunit ribosomal RNA", at positions 29 to 507 of the family's 1533-position model. The record is from RNAcentral.
AGUGAACGCUGGCGGUAGGCCUAACACAUGCAAGUCGAACGGCAGCACAGUAAGAGCUUGCUCUUACGGGUGGCGAGUGGCGGACGGGUGAGGAAUACAUCGGAAUCUACUUUUUCGUGGGGGAUAACGUAGGGAAACUUACGCUAAUACCGCAUACGACCUACGGGUGAAAGCAGGGGAUCUUCGGACCUUGCGCGAUUGAAUGAGCCGAUGUCGGAUUAGCUAGUUGGCGGGGUAAAGGCCCACCAAGGCGACGAUCCGUAGCUGGUCUGAGAAGAUGAUCAGCCACACUGGAACUGAGACACGGUCCAGACUCCUACGGGAGGCAGCAGUAGGGAAUAUUGGACAAUGGGCGCAAGCCUGAUCCAGCCAUACCGCGUGGGUGAAGAAGGCCUUCGGGUUGUAAAGCCCUUUUGUUGGGAAAGAAAAGCAGCAGGUUAAUACCCCGCUGUUCUGACGGUACCCAAAGAAUAAGCACCGGCUAACUUCGUG